GUUGGGAAUAUUGGACAAUGGGGGCAACCCUGAUCCAGCCAUGCCGCGUGUGUGAAGAAGGCCUUCGGGUUGUAAAGCACUUUAAGCGGGGAGGAAGGUUCGCUGGCUAAUAUCCAGCGGAAUUGACGUUACCUGCAGAAUAAGCACCGGCUAACUCUGUGCCAGCAGCCGCGGUAAUACAGAGGGUGCAAGCGUUAAUCGGAAUUACUGGGCGUAAAGCGCGCGUAGGCGGUUGUGUAAGUUGGAGGUGAAAUCCCCGGGCUUAACCUGGGCACUGCCUUAAAAGCUGCACGGCUAGAGUAUGGGAGAGGAAGGUAGAAUUCCAGGUGUAGCGGUGAAAUGCGUAGAGAUCUGGAGGAAUACCGAUGGCGAAGGCAGCCUUCUGGCCUAAUACUGACGCUGAGGUGCGAAAGCAUGGGGAGCAAACAGGAUUAGAUACCCGUGUAGUCC
This 450-nucleotide ribosomal RNA is filed under the name uncultured bacterium. RNAcentral's name for it is "partial 16S ribosomal RNA". It matches the Rfam family "Bacterial small subunit ribosomal RNA", at positions 354 to 796 of the family's 1533-position model. The record is from RNAcentral.